RNAcentral lists this ribosomal RNA (468 nucleotides) under uncultured bacterium. RNAcentral's name for it is "partial 16S ribosomal RNA". It matches the Rfam family "Bacterial small subunit ribosomal RNA", at positions 28 to 507 of the family's 1533-position model. The record is from RNAcentral.
GACGAACGCUGGCGGCGUGCUUAACACAUGCAAGUCGAACGGAAAGGCCCUGCUUUUGUGGGGUGCUCGAGUGGCGAACGGGUGAGUAACACGUGAGUAACCUGCCCUUGACUUUGGGAUAACUUCAGGAAACUGGGGCUAAUACCGGAUAGGAGCUCCUGCUGCAUGGUGGGGGUUGGAAAGUUUCGGCGGUUGGGGAUGGACUCGCGGCUUAUCAGCUUGUUGGUGGGGUAGUGGCUUACCAAGGCUUUGACGGGUAGCCGGCCUGAGAGGGUGACCGGCCACAUUGGGACUGAGAUACGGCCCAGACUCCUACGGGAGGCAGCAGUGGGGAAUAUUGCAUAAUGGGCGGAAGCCUGAUGCAGCAACGCCGCGUGCGGGAUGACGGCCUUCGGGUUGUAAACCGCUUUCGCCUGUGACGAAGCGUGAGUGACGGUAAUGUGUAAAGAAGCACCGGCUAACUACGUG